CCGUGUCACGGACUGAAGUAGUUGGCGAUGAGUCCAAUUCCUCGUCCACAUCUUGGACAACUGACACAUCUGGGAUCCAGGAAGUUCCCGCAGCAAGAGACCCAGAUGAAUAUGAAAAGGCACAGGGUUCAGAUCCAUUCCCACCCAGAUGCAGAAGGUCUGUGUCAGUUGCUGUGUACGCAAGAUGAUCUCCAGCUUCCAUCUCUUCCUGUUUAUGGUCAUCAACAACUCAGUGACUUCUAGCAGAGUUUAAACACAAGAAAACCUAUUCAAUUUACGACAAUAAAUGCAUAUAAACAGAAUCAAAAGCCUUGGCAAAGUGAACUGGUACAACCAAAAUCAGUUGAUUCGAGAUCCAACUAAGACAACUGGCUAACAUCCAUGCAUGAUUAAGAGUUUAAAACAAGCAGGAGAGGUCAACAAGAAGCAACGUAGAUUACACCCUCCAAAAGUGGAAUUAGUUACAGCAUCAUAAAUCUGAUUCUCUCUGACUAAUAUCUUUGCAAAACUUCUACACACUUGCUUCAAAUAUAAAUCUCACCCAGCACUUGUUCAAAACUAUCACCCCUGCCUCUCUUACCCUAUUAUUUUUAAUUAAAAAUAAAGUAAAUAAUUCCUAAACUACAUUAAUAUUCUUCCUACUAUGACACAUAACGUAAGAAAAGUAGCCAGGUUGGACUGUUUAAAAAAUGAUUUGUUGUUUCCUCCCUACUCCCUCCCCUCCCUGAGUAUACAAAUACUCAAUAAAUGGAUACAAGUGCCUCUAGAAAGCAUUUUUACAAAACAUUAGUACAUAACAAGUGUCAAAACUUCCCAAUUGGCCAAAAGGAAAUUAAAUCUAAAUGGAGUGUCCAGCAAACUUUAUGUUAUCACAUUAAUUUUCAAUAUACUGCUCCUAGAAAACAGCACCCUUUUCUCCUUUGGAACCAAAAGGAAAGGGAAAAGUAAAUGGAAAUAGGAUGAUGAUGAUCUUCGUGAUCUGAACUACAAUAUUACCAUAAGUUCUUAUCUUCAUGUUUAUGUGUACCAAUUUGAGAACUAUUGAACCUAGUUGCAGAUACAUACAACAUACCUGUAUUUCUUGAGAAUAAUAACAACAUACCUGUAUUGGCGGUAAUGAACUCCUAAAUUCAUUAAAAGAUGCUGCGUGACCAAAACCCAUGUCAAGCAAAGGUUCUUCAUCAGAUUCAGACUCAAAAGAAUCAUUUAAACCAAAGCCUGAAUCAUUAGCACAAACACCCCUGAGAGAGGAAGUAGGAAAUGGGUUUAUCUCAAUAGCUUGAGAACGCGGUAAAUUGUCUGAACUCUUUGAUGAACCAAGUUGAUCAGAUACUAAUUCUAAAGCAUUUUCAUCAUCAUUGCUUGUCUUGAGACCACCUUCAGGAUAGCAACUAUAACUCACACAAGAGGGAGAUUUUUCGACAGAGAUUCUGGAGGAGAUCACUGAUCAGAUCAGUCUUUGAAUGGCACUUCGCUUUAUAUGGUUGAAACAAGUUUAUGCUGAGCUGGAUUCAAAAUAAAGUAGAGAAACUUUCAGGUAUAAAAAUCAUCAACUACCUAAAGUUUUCUCAAAGAAAUAAGAGCCAUAAAUCACAAGCAAGAAUCAGAAAAAGAGGAAAAAUAAAGAAUGCAAGAAAAAAACACACAAACAUCAUAGGAAGAGAACUGAGAAGAAUGAUGUCAGCAGAAGGGAAGAAAGGAAAACAUACAGCAGCAAGACAAAUUUCAUGAGGAUUUGAAGUAGAAUUUUGCAGAUCAUCCCAACAUGCAGACUCAAAGGUCAUUGAAGCAUCAAAUGUCGUUCUUCUUCUCUUUACGUUUGUCAUAUAGUAUACCAAUCCGAGAUCUUAGGAUAUGUACUUUCAUAACCAGGAAGAAUUCUAUACUAAACAAGGUAACUCCUACUCUAUGUCAGCUAUGUGGAAGUAGCAGAGAGCUCUGUUUAGACAAGACCAAGUUCCUCAAUUUGGAAAAGAUAAUUUUUUCUUCAUUUUCACAGCAGGGAGAAGAACUCUAUUCUUUAUUCCCCUUUCUUACUUUGAAAGUAGUUCAAUUGCCACAACACAAAUACUUCACAAUGGCUGAAAUAUAUAUAUAUAUAUAUAUAUAGCCUGUCCAUAAUCCAUCCCUAAAAGUUGCCUCAUUUAUCUCUUUUCUUUAGCUCUUCCUUCUCUAUAUCUUGGGAGAACGUGUGGUCAUGGAUGGUGAAACCAAUACCGGACUACACCCCAUGUUACUGUUGGCAUUUCAUAUUAUGGGAAUUUGGAAGAAUGGGUCGAAAAGAGUUUUUGGUUCAAUACCCUAUAUGGGGCUUGAGGGGUUUUGUAGGGUUUAAGGGUUGGGUUAAAAAAAGGGUCUUUUGGGUUUCUGAAGAUCGUUUUUAAGGAUUGCUUUCUUCUUAUUAUUGAGGUCAUUUCAAUGAACAAACAAAGAUCAUUCAAGAAUCAAUUCACUUACCAGAAAAAUAAAAGCUUUAACACCCUUACCUUACCUUUGCUCAAGCAAAAUGAAGUUGCUGUUCAUGUCCUUUCUUGAGAAAAAAUUGGGGCUUUUGAUUAGGGAAGAUGAGGAAGAAGAAGAGUUCCGAACCUCAAUAUGAACUCAUGGGCUCGGCUGGGUUCACGUUAGACAUAGCUAUUUUAGGGUGUUUUUGCCCAAAUUUUAGGGUGUGGGUCUUUAACACCCUUUUUUUUUUUUUUUUGAACAUUGGUAAAGUUGUAUUCUUCAGCAUUAAGGACAUGCUGGCCACCUUCAAAAAUGUACAGCCCUAACCAAAAUUACAAGCUCCCUAUUAAUUCUAUAAUUUGAUCUACAUCUUCUAUACAGAGCUGUUUACACCAAAAAAGUAAAGAUACCAAACAAUUCCAUUUUACUUUGUGAAUGGAAUUAGAUCUAUCUUCAAAACAUCUCCCAUUUCUUUCCUUCCACACUGACCACCAUAUGCAUGAUGGUAUUAGCUUCCACCACUUCUUUUGAGUCUUGCUACCCCCCCUUCUGAUCCAACAUUAAAAGAACAGAGGUGUGUUCUGGCAUAGUCCAGCUACAAUUUUGGUGACUAACCAAGUGAAGCAUUUCACUUUGGUGGGGGUCAGUCCUCUCCAAAUACUCUUCCAGUGAUGAUGGUAGCCUCUAACCCCAACUUGUAUGCCUUUCUUGUAAGCACUGUUUACUGUGAAUUUGCCAUCCUUGUUGUGCUUCCAAAUAACUCUAUCUGGUGCAUUUGUUACUAGAUUGGUUCCCCUCAAUUUUCCCAGGAAAGAAGCCACUAUAUCUACUUCCCAAUCAUUCAAUAGCCUUCUGAAAGAUAGGUCCAGCAUUCACAUACUCUGGCUUCAGGAUUAUUGCUGAUUGAGAAAAGAUCUGGGAAUGGCUCACUUAGAGGAAUUUGAUCAAUCCAUCCAUCUCUUCAAAACUUGAUCUUGUUGCCAUUUCCAACUUUGAGAAACACAUUUUCUUCCAUAGAGUUCCAUAAAGCUCUGAUUGUCCUCCAUACUCCCCAUCCAUAGGGUUCUGACACUAUCUCUGUACACCAUGGGUUCAAUUCCCCAUACUUUGCCACUAUCACCUCCUUCCAUAGGGUUCCUUCCUCACUAGUAUAUCUCCACAACCACUUCAUACAAAAGGCUCCUGUUUUGGAUUCUCAAAUUUCUAAUACCCAGUCCCCCUCUUUCUUUGCUUAGCAUCACAGUGUUCCAUUUCACUAAAUAGUAACCCUUGCCUUCUCUCUCUUUGCCUUUUUUCCGGAGGAAGUUUCUUCUCAGUCUGUCCAGCCUGUCCAAUUUAAUACCCUUUAUAAAAAUCUAUAUUUGAUACCUCGUUAUGGCCAUCAUUUCUAUUUAUCUUUUUUGCAUUUUUUUAAUCCAUAAUAUUGUACUCUUUCUGGCCAACAAUAGUUGUUCACUAUUGACUUGGCACAACUUUAAGAAAGAAAAAAUAAUAGGGGUAAUAUUACUAUAUUAUCCUCUGACUUUAUUAAAUUUAAUGCUUUGAACUACUGCAAUGAAUAAACAUUGUAUAAAUAGUGUAUAUGGAUGUAUAUACUAGGGGUGUGCACUAUUCGGAUUAAACCGAAUAACCAAACCAAAUCAAACCGAAUUAUUAUUUGGAUUGAUUUUUUAUUUUUUCGGAUUGGUUUUGGAUUAAUAAAUUACUUUGUUUGGUUUUUUGGUUUGGUUUCGGAUUUUAAAAAAUAAAAACUGAAAAACCAAAAAAAACCGAAUUAUAUAUAUAUAUAUAAUGUUUAGGUUUAGAAUUAAAUUGGAGUUAACCACUUUUGUCCCUUUUUGGUUAUUGCCUUUCAUGAUGAUUACGUUUAUAUUUUAUGUUUGAAUUACAUCUAUAAUAGGUAUACUUAUAAGUAUUGUGUUUUAAGUUUUACUUAUGAUUUAUAUUAGAAAGAAUAUAAAGGGAUUAAAUGUUAUUACUUUGGUUAUAUAUGUUAUUAAUUAUUGACAUAACCGAAUAACCAAACCGAAAAAAGCCGAACCGAAUAGAGGAAAACCAAACCAAAUCAAAUUUAUUUUGGAUCGGAUUGGGUUACACUUUUACAAAAUCAAAAAUCAAAAAUCCAAACCGAAUAGUGUAAACCCAAACCGAAUGCAUACCCCUAGUAUAUACCUCUCUAAUACAUAAUUAUACAUCAUAUAUAUACACAAUUAUACAACAUUGAUAUAUUACAUGUACAUAUAACCAUUUUAUUGAGAAAUUUUUUUGUUACAUAUACAGUUUGGUAACAAGCCCUAUUUAAUAGUGUAUUACAUAUAAAACAAUAACAAGCCCUAUUUAAUAUUAGGGAAAGCAUGAUCAACUUUUUCUCAGUUUCAGUAUGCCUUCUUCAAUGUUAAUAGUUUUUCCAAUGAUCUAGUAAAGCAACCAAGCAUGAGGAGACCUUACAAAAUGAAAAUAAAGCUAAGCAUAAGGAAGAUUUGCAACUUAAAGUCCAGCUACUCAUAAAUCAAAGAAUCAUAUACUAAACCAGCAUUUAUUUUCUAAAUGCAAAAGCCAAAUGUAUAUCAGUAAUGACCUGUAUAUUGAGGAGGACAAGAGAAAAGAUUCAAAAUUGUAACCAUGAGAUACUGGUCAUACCUUGUCAAUCUCACUGAGUCUCAAACAUCCAUGCUGCCUUUCAUCAAGUCUCAGUUAAAGAUAUAUUUUGCCCUGCGUAACAUCAAUUCAGAAAAUGUGUGCUCCCACAGUGGACACUGGACAUAUCGAACAACAGUUGAGGGAGAAAAGAAUAAGUUGCUACACUGCAAAAAAAGAGCCUCCUUAAUGACAUGGACAAAAAAUUGGAUGUAUGCAAAGGGUAGUACCGAAAAGUAAGGAACCAACAAGAAGAUAUGCAAAAAGGCCACCCAAUCUUCUAAACAACAAGGAACUACAUGGGUGCACCAAAAGCAGAUCAGGGAUAGAGAAUACUACUCAACUGAGUAAACUCAUCUCUACCCCUUCAAAGAUCUCCUAUUUCUUCCUCUCCAAACAACUCACAUUAACGUGAAUGAAGCGACAUUCCAUACCCUGCGUAUUCUCCUCCUUUUUGGCAUCUUCCAGUUGAACAUCAAAUCCCGCCCAUAACAUGGCAUCCUCCAAAGCUUAAAGAAGACACUUCUUCCUACAAGGUUUAAAGUUCCUUAACGUAGAACAUCCACCCCUCCCCCCACAGUUACACUGUCCAGACAGAAACGUAAGAAACCAUAACUGCAGAAGGACCAUUUGAUCCAUGUCUGCUCUGACUGAAUAAAGCAUUAUAUACUAGAGAAAGAUAAGAGAUAAGAUGGUUUCAGUUAUCUGCAAGAUCAAUUCUUUCACUAAGUUCUUAUAAUUUGCAUCAAAAUGGAAUCAAGGAGAUGAUGUGUUAUGUUAAAACAUCUGAACACAUAACUCCAAGAAAAGAAGAAAACACAGCAUGAAUCGAAUUGCAUGCAAUUUCACUAGUAAAGUUCUAAUAAAGACUGAGCAUUUUAAGAUACUACAAAACUUCCCACCUUGUAGAAGCUUUAUAUCCUUAUUCAGGAAUACAGGGCCUACAAAGUCAAUAACAAAAGAACAACUAAACAGUGCUUCAUCCUUUCAAUUCACAUUCCUAAACAAAAGUAAACUAAAGGACGAACGAGCUGCAAAUUAGGACAGUAGAAAUAGCUUAUCAUCAGAGGGUGAGAGCUAUCAGGAUGAGUUCACAUUGAUGUAUCAUAGGCUUCUCACAUCAGCUUCAUAAAUCUUAACAGAAGGGUUCACAGGGAUCUAAUCCCCACCCAUCCCAAACCAUGAUGAUUGCUAAUUGUCAAUGUACAAUUUUUUUAAUCUGAGAUUUGUUAAAUGACUUAUUUUAAGAAGGUAAAUCAAUUGUAUAGAUGAACUAGCUCCAAGGAUGUGCUUUAAGCCUAUAACACCUGUACAAUAUUUUCAUGAGCAAGAAGUGGUAACUGAUUCCUUUCUUUAAAUAAUUAGCUGGUUAAAUUAUUUACAUGAGAAUGUAUCUUGAUAAGCGAAAGAAUAUAUCAUAUUAAUCAUUAAACAUGAGAUAUUUGAUUUUCCUUCAACUUAGAUAUUGCUUCUGAAGCUAUAUGAUUCUGCAAUAUCAGGAAUGAUCAUAGUGGGAGGAUAAGCAAAUACCAAAGAAACUGUUGUUUUGCAUUGACUUUAAAUCUGAAACAAAUCCCAUGGAAAUAAAUAAUUUUGUGUUUAAUGACAUAUGGAAAGUUCAGGAUUAUGCAAAUGACAUCUGAGAGAAUUCCUUCGAUAGAGGCAACUUCAGUAGGAGUAAAGCCAUAUUAAGGUACACCAAUACAAAAGGUAGAAGUUAAGACAAGGAAGAUCUUCAUUUUGAUACAUUGGACUGUUAUAAAUGUUGUCAAACUACAAAAAAAACGUUGAUCGUAAUGGAAGAAAAAGGCAGAAAGCAGCAAAAGAAUUCAACUAAUAUUGAAAGAUAUUACCAUUUAUACCCAAUUCACGAAUGUUACAAAGUACACUACAAAGAGACAGUGCGUCUAUAUAGUGUUUCAUCUUCACUGUCAUCUUCCUCUUCUGAUACAAUCUCAUUGCCUGGUAGCUCUAACUUCCCACCCAUACAAAAUGACGGACCAGAACUUUCAGGCUCUAUAUAAUCACCAUACAAUCUCUCUUCAAAUCUUUGGUCACUACAAUUGAGAAACCAACCCAAAGAACAUCUGAUUUCCUUGUUCUGCAACCUCUGGUACCUGGGUUUGAUUCUUGAUUCCAAGCUAUACGUGAAGUAGUCUGGAAAGUCCAAAAGCUCUUCCAUUGGUCGGCCCAUAUCACUCUUGAAAAAGUAAUAACUAUUUUUCAUGAGGCCAACUUGCAAAGCAACUAACUGAGGACAUUUUACAAUCAUCUUUGCCACAUCAGCCGUUGAAAAUCCCCGUCCAACAAGGAACUCGACUGGUUUCAUUAUCACAUGUUGGUGUAGACUGACAAUUUGUGGCAUCUUCUCAAUGACUCGAGCAAAACCAUCAGGAUCAAUCUUAAGCUUUAAGUUAAAGAAAUAUUGUUGCGACGACAGCUUAGCUUUCAAAGGUAAACCUAGAAUUUGUGGAAAUUGUGCAAUAACAGAAGGCAAAGUGUCCUUCCUAAGUCCAAAACUGAGUAAGCAAUUUACAUUUGGUUUCACCGUCUCUUCAAGAUCAUAACCAAGUAAAUAUGCUCGCUUCUCCAACAUUCUCGCCAACAUUUUCUUCGGCAAACCCAAUGAAACCAAAUAAUCCACAAGUGGUUUAAUCAUUGUCCCAACUCUCAUCCCAAGAAAAUAUGGAUAUUGUGUUACCAUCGGCCCUACAUCCCUCGGAUUAACUCCUAUACUAACCAAGUAAGCAACUGAAGUACUCAUUGUUCCCUCAAGUUUAAACCCUAACAACUCAGGAUAUUUCAUCAAAACAUACCCAAUAUCUUGUUUCUCAACAUCAAGACCUCGUAAAAAUUUAAUAACCGGAACAAGCUCGACGACGACACUAGUAUGUAAACAUUGAGGAUAAAUCUUAAUAAAUUCACCAAGCUUAGACCUUUGAAGCCCAAUUUUCUCCAAGUAUGUUAAAACAGGAAUUAUGUUUUUCCUCACACUACAACCAAGCAUUAAAGGAUAUUCAUUCAUAUCAUCAACUGUGAGACCAAUUUUCUGCAAAAACUCAACACGCUCCCGCAUAACUUCAACAGCGGAGGGUAAUUCCAACUCCUCUAAUUCAUGAGGGAUUAUUCCUAUAGUUUUCAAAUAAUCAGAGAUUAUUACACGUGACACCAACUUCUCCUUACGCCCUUGGACUACACCCCAUGUUACUGUUGGCAUUUCAUAUUCUGGGAAUUUAGAAGAAUGGGUCGAAAAGGGUUUUUGGUUCAAUACCCUGUAUGGGAUUUUGUAAAUUGGGUUAAAAAAUGGAUCUUUUGGGUUUCUGAAGAUUGUUUUUAAGGAUUGAUUUCUUCUUAUUAUUGAUGUCAUUUCAGUGAACAAACAACAAAGAUCAUUCAAGAAUAAGAAAAUAUAAGCUUUUAACGCCUUACCUGCAGAACGAAUCUACUGUCCAUUGAAAAAAAUUGCGGCUUUUGAGUAGGGAAGAUUGAGGAAGAAGAAGAUUCAUGGGCUGGGCUGGGCUGGAUGAGAAAAAAAUUGGGGCUUUUGUUUUAUUUUCUUAUAAUAUAGGAAAAGUUACAAAAAUUCCACCUUUUAGUUUACUUAUUACCAUUAUUUCCUAUAAAUUUUACAAAUCUCUAAAAUUCCCCAUUUUCGCACAUUAGAUUAGUGUAUCUCGCGCAUCAAAUUAAUGUAUCAGCACUUAUAUUAUUGUAUCUCGCGCAUCAGAUUAGUGUAUCAUGUAUAAAAUAUAAUGUAUCUUACUUAACGAUUAAUGUAUCUUGCGUAUCAGAUUAAAGUAUCAACGCUUAUAUUAUUGUAUCCGUUUGAGGGAUUUCUGUAAUUAUAAACUUUUAAGGGAUAAAUUGUAAUUUUCCUUAAAAGUAUUGAUUUCUAUAAUUUGCCCUUAUAUAUAUGUUGAAACUUGAUAAAAUUAUUUUUAUUAUUAAGAAGAAGUUAAAAAUAUAUAUAUUUGAAAAAGGUACGGGUAGGAGAAAAAAGUAUAAAAGAGGUAAAUGUAAUUUAGAUUGAUUUAUAAUAAAUAUACAAAGAAAAUCAUGUUUGUUAGAAAUAUAUAUAAAAAGUAUACAUUUUUUCUCAAAUUGUUAUUUUUUGUUUACUGUAUUUAAAAGUAUACAAAACUCAAAGUCUAAAACUCUUAAGUGAUGAAAAUUUAUAUACGAACCUAAAUUAAAUGUGAAUAAUUAAAACUUGAAAUAUUUGAAUUUGAAAAUUAAAUGUAUUCUCUCCAUAAGUUAUUUAGGUUGAGAAUUUUAUUUUUCGAUGACAAUUAUAACCAUUUGAAAUUACUAAAAUCAUUAAUGUUUUAUGGAAAUAUAGGACCUUCUUCGGAUGAAUUUUAAUUACUCAUUUUGUCUACUUUUAAUUGUCAUGUUCUGCUUUUUAAAAGUUAAUUUGACUAAUUUUCAAAGUUAAAUUAGAUUACAUUAAUUCGAUAGUUUAAAUAAAAAAUUUAGAUAUUCAAAAACGAUACGAAAAGUACUAUAUAUUGCAAUUUUUUGCAUAUCAAUAUGAUAAAAAAAUACAUCGUAAAAUGUUAGUCAAAGUUCUUAUAGCUUGACUCUAAAAAAGAAAACCAAUGACAAUUAAAAGUGGUCGGAGAGAAUAAUCGUCAAUUAUGAGAUUUUGUAUAUGAUUAUUAUGGGUUAUCAAAAUAAAGUUAUUUACUAUUUUGUGUAUGGAUUUUGAUUAAAAAAUCAUGAAUACUUUAUAUAUUUCAUUUAGUUUUUUGAUUUAUUUUAAAUAAUAAUAAUGAAUUUCUUUCAUAAAUGACAUUGUGUUUAAAUUGAUGUUAAAUAGGAGCGAGCAUAAUACUUUAUUAAAAACUUUGGUUUGAUAAUUUUAAUUUGUAACUUUUUAAAUAUUUUGCCAUUAUAUUUCUCUGGUGUUAACUUAGUGUUAAUUUAUUUUUUUUCUAUAAUUAUUUUGUUUAGCAGGGAAAACUAGUCUCGACUCUAAGUAAAAUUAUAUUCGCGCGGAUAAAUUCAUUAGUAAUACCUUAAACUAAAAAUUAAGUAUUGUAUGUGUUUAGGUUCUAUUUUUAUAUUUAUUUUUUCGAUUUCCAAUAAACAAAAAAAAUAUUACGUGUCUUCUAAAAAGUUUUUUACCGCUAAAAAGUAGUUAUAUCCUAUCCAUUUUUAUCACUAUCUCUCUCACACACCCCCAUAAAAUUCACAUGGUUCCUCUCUUUCUCACUUAUCCUCUAUACGGUGUACCUAAACACUGUGAUAUUAUACACGUGUACUUUAUCAAUAAAAGCAUGAUACAUUUUUUAUAUUGUUUCAAUUGUUGAGACUUUACAACUUACCUUCUUAAGGUACAAAACUUACAAAAUUGAAUUAUUUACAAGUAAUAAAUACCCUAUCGAUCUUUAUCACGUGUUAAAAAUGUCUUCAAGACUUAUUUACUUGAAAGGAUACAAGACACAAUAAUCCUAGUAUAUAAUUUGUCACUCACCCACUUGCAAACGAAUAAUCUUAAGACACUUGAAUGACAAUCUAUUUUGUCUACUUUGCUUAAAGAUUUUCACAAAUCAUUUCUUAUAUUUAAUAUUACAAGUUACAUAAACCAUAAUGAUCAAUACCUUUUCUCUCUCCCGUUUCUACACUAUACCCUAACUGUUAUAUAUUGAGUGAUAUCUGUUAUAAUGUUAAUCUAUAACUCAUGUCUAGCAAAUAGUUAAUUUUUUCAUAAAUAAUUCGUCAAGGCAAUGUGAUGACCAAUAAUCCUCUUAUAAGUUUUUAUGUUUGAUGAGUCUUGAAAAGGUUUUAUCAAACCAAUUAACCAAUAUUGAUUUCUUCUAUUAAGAUUAGUUAAUAUCUUAAACUCUUGUUGAGUAUUAUCUGAUCUUUUGUUCUAAAGAAGAAUAUUAUUCAUCAUUAGUGAUUAGCCUUUAUGACUACAACAAGUCUCUAUGUCGGAUAAAAUUGAAGUGUGCACUUUAGAGAUCUCAUCUGAUAAUAUUCUAUCACGAUCCAAACUAUCUCCCAGACGUAACAUGGUGAAUAGGAUCUCGAGAGACUCUAAACAAACCAGUUGAUAUAAGUAUGAGACUAUGAUAAACAACAAAACAAUAUGAAAUGAAUAAUAAAGCUAAAAGAUUAUAGUAAAACCUUUUUUUUUCCAACUCCAAGCGUAGCAUAAUAGAGAAAGGGGCAUCAGAUGUUUCUCAUUGUGACCUGAAAUUUGUUACUCAUUUCAGGGUUGGUUAAUUUGCCAUAAGUAAUUUUUCUAGGUGUUGCAACAAAAAUGCAAUCAGACAGUACAAUUUUUCGACGAAGGAGGUUCACUACAGGUCUCCCCCUCUAGUGAUCUUCUCCGAUUAGAAGGAAAAAACUGAUCCUGUUCCAACUAACUUUUGAAAUCUUAGGGAUCAUUUAUCACAAACUCAGCCUACCAUAGAACCCUUGCAAAUAAAGCAGUAUAAAAUGGACAUCUCUACAUAAACAACUGAAUAUACGUUAGGCACCACAGAGAUGAGAAACUAAAACAAGACCUCAAUCAUGAUUAGUCCAAAGAAUCCCUAAAUGGAUGCAACUAAAACCCCAGUUAAGAGCAUUUACAAAAAUUAAGAUGUUGGGUGUACAGACAACCCACUGAAAAUCUAUUCACAGGAUGGGGUAUGCAGCUAACAAAUGAUACUCUUGUAUUCCUAGUACCAUGAGAGCAAAGAAUGCUUCAUAAGACUCCCAUAGGUCAUCAAAUCUACAAAUGCAGAUCAUGCGUCACACUACUUCUAAAUGCUACUUCCUCAUCAUCCAAGGGUGUAAGCCGCCUCCUUUUCACAUUGUGUUCAGGAUCUGCUUCUGAGCCAGAACCAUUACCAAUGAGCAACAAGCUUUUACAUGCAAGGUUGACAUUUCCAUGGAUAUCAUAUGGGUUCUCCUGACCGGAGGUGACAGGACCAGUACCACUGUUAUCACGAGUCUCAAUCGAGGAUUGUGCCAAAGUGAUGUCCAGCAACUCGCCAGCAGUAUCAUCUCCAUCAACCAAACAGUCAAUACUUGACUUUGGACGAUCUAUUUUCUCAUCUGAACUCAUAUUUUGAUCUACUUUGCACAGUUCUACAACCUCAACUUCUAAUUGUUUCUCCGUGUCACGGACUGAAGUAGUUGGUGAUGAGUCCAAUUCCUCAUCCACAUCUUGGACAACUGACACAUCUGGGAUCCAGGAAGUUCCCGCAGCAAGAGACCCAGAUGAAUAUGAAAAUGCACAGGGUUCAGAUCCAUUCCCACCCAGAUGCAAAAGGUCUGUGUCAGUUGCUGUGUACGCAAGAUGAUCUCCAGCUUCCAUCUCUUCCUGUUUAAGGUCAUCAACAACUCAGUGACUUCUAGCAGAGUUUAAACACAAGAAAACCUAAUCAAUUUACGGCAAAUAAAUGCAUAUAAACAGAAUCAAAACCCUUGGCAAAGUGAACUGGUACAACCAAAAUCAGUUGAUUCGAGAUCCAACUAAGACAACUGGCUAACAUCCAUGCAUGAUUAAGAG
Molecule: long non-coding RNA, 12589 nt
Filed under: Solanum tuberosum (potato)
Lineage: Eukaryota; Viridiplantae; Streptophyta; Magnoliopsida; Solanales; Solanaceae
Description: long non-coding RNA (STUB_LNC010551)
Source: RNAcentral